This 492-nucleotide ribosomal RNA is filed under the name uncultured bacterium. RNAcentral describes it as "partial 16S ribosomal RNA". It matches the Rfam family "Bacterial small subunit ribosomal RNA", at positions 30 to 507 of the family's 1533-position model. The record is from RNAcentral.
AUUGAACGCUGGCGGCAUGCCUAACACAUGCAAGUCGAACGGCAGCACAGUUGCUUGCUGCUGUUCGCGAGUGGCGAACGGGUGAGUAAUACGUAGGAACCUGUCCCUUCGUUUGGGAUUGCCUGGAGGAAGCCGGAUUUAUUCCGCAAACGCACUACGUCUGACAGGGGGGGCAUUGGAACGUUCGAGCUAUCGGGUUUGAAGGCGCCGAUUUCGGACUUGUUAGUUGGGGGGGUAAAGGCCUACGAAGGCGACGAUCGGUAGCUGGUCUGAGAGGAUGAUCAGCCACACUGGAACUGAGACACGGUCCAGGCUCCUACGGGAGGCAGCAGUGGGGAAUGGUGGACAAUGGGCGAAAGCCUGAUCCAGCCAUACCGCGUGUGUGAAGAAGGCCUUCGGGUUGUAAAGCACUUUUGUCGGGAAAGAAAAGCUUGAGCCUAAUACGGAGCGGGUAUGACGGUACCGGAAGAAUAAGCACCGGCUAACUACGUG